Molecule: ribosomal RNA, 274 nt
Filed under: uncultured bacterium
Lineage: Bacteria
Description: partial 16S ribosomal RNA
Rfam family: Archaeal small subunit ribosomal RNA
Source: RNAcentral
AAACCAGCACCUCAAGUGGUCAGGAUGAUUAUUGGGCCUAAAGCAUCCGUAGCCGGCUCUGUAAGUUUUCGGUUAAAUCUGUACGCUCAACGUACAGGCUGCUGGGAAUACUGCAGAGCUAGGGAGUGGGAGAAGUAGACGGUACUCGGGAGGAAGUGGUAAAAUGCUUUGAUCUCUCGAUGACCACCUGUGGCGAAGGCGGUCUACCAGAACACGUCCGACGGUGAGGGAUGAAAGCUGGGGGAGCAAACCGGAUUAGAAACCCCGGUAGUCC